RNAcentral lists this ribosomal RNA (254 nucleotides) under uncultured bacterium. RNAcentral's name for it is "partial 16S ribosomal RNA". It matches the Rfam family "Bacterial small subunit ribosomal RNA", at positions 524 to 776 of the family's 1533-position model. The record is from RNAcentral.
AACGUAGGACGCAAGCAUUAUCCGGAGUUACUGGGCGUAAAGGGCGCGUAGGCGGUCGUGACAAGUCACUUGUGAAAUCUCCGGGCUUAACUCGGAACGGUCAAGUGAUACUGUCGGACUAGAGUACAGAAGGGGCAACUGGAAUUCUCGGUGUAGCGGUGAAAUGCGUAGAUAUCGAGAGGAACACCUGCGGCGAAGGCGGGUUGCUGGGCUGAUACUGACGCUGAGGCGCGAAAGCCAGGGGAGCGAACGGG